CCGGAGAAGAUGAGUUUAAAAU
This 22-nucleotide non-coding RNA is filed under the name Gossypium hirsutum (cotton). The record is from RNAcentral. Lineage: Eukaryota; Viridiplantae; Streptophyta; Magnoliopsida; Malvales; Malvaceae.